CAGCCGCCGCGGGAAUACGAAGGGGGCUAGCGUUGCUCGGAAUGACUGGGCGUAAAGCGUGCGCAGGCGGUUCGUUAAGACAGAUGUGAAAUCCCCGAGCUUAACUCGGGAACAGCAUUUGAAACUGGCAGGCUAGAGUCUCGUAGAGGGGGGUAGAAUUCCAGGUGUAGCGGUGAAAUGCGUAGAGAUCUGGAGGAAUACCGGUGGCGAAGGCGGCCCCCUGGACGAAGACUGACGCUCAGGUACGAAAGCGUGGGGAGCAAACAGGAUUAGAUACCCGAGUAGUCCCUGUCUCUUAUAC
Molecule: ribosomal RNA, 301 nt
Filed under: uncultured bacterium
Lineage: Bacteria
Description: partial 16S ribosomal RNA
Rfam family: Bacterial small subunit ribosomal RNA
Source: RNAcentral